GAGAGCGGCGGACGGGUGAGUAAUGCCUAGGAAUCCUGCCUGGUAGUGGGGGAUAACGUUCGGAAACGGACGCUAAUACCGCAUACGUCCUACGGGAGAAAGCAGGGGACCUUCGGGCCUUGCGCUAUCAGAUGAGCCUAGGUCGGAUUAGCUAGUUGGUGAGGUAAUGGCUCACCAAGGCGACGAUCCGUAACUGGUCUGAGAGGAUGAUCAGUCACACUGGAACUGAGACACGGUCCAGACUCCUACGGGAGGCAGCAGUGGGGAAUAUUGGACAAUGGGCGAAAGCCUGAUCCAGCCAUGCCGCGUGUGUGAAGAAGGUCUUCGGAUUGUAAAGCACUUUAAGUUGGGAGGAAGGGCAGUAA
This 365-nucleotide ribosomal RNA is filed under the name Pseudomonas sp. oral taxon D11. RNAcentral describes it as "bacterial SSU rRNA". It matches the Rfam family "Bacterial small subunit ribosomal RNA", at positions 91 to 458 of the family's 1533-position model. The record is from RNAcentral. Lineage: Bacteria; Pseudomonadati; Pseudomonadota; Gammaproteobacteria; Pseudomonadales; Pseudomonadaceae.